Molecule: ribosomal RNA, 362 nt
Filed under: uncultured fungus
Lineage: Eukaryota; Fungi
Description: eukaryotic LSU rRNA
Rfam family: Eukaryotic large subunit ribosomal RNA
Source: RNAcentral
AUAUCAAUAAGCGGAGGAAAAGAAACCAACAGGGAUUGCCCUAGUAACGGCGAGUGAAGCGGCAACAGCUCAAAUUUGAAAUCUGGCUCCUUUGGGGGUCCGAGUUGUAAUUUGUAGAGGGUGCUUUGGCGUUGGCUGUGGUCUAAGUUCCUUGGAACAGGACGUCGCAGAGGGUGAGAAUCCCGUAUGUGGCCGCCAGUCUUCGCCGUGUAAAGCCCCUUCGACGAGUCGAGUUGUUUGGGAAUGCAGCUCUAAAUGGGAGGUAAAUUUCUUCUAAAGCUAAAUAUUGGCCAGAGACCGAUAGCGCACAAGUAGAGUGAUCGAAAGAUGAAAAGCACUUUGGAAAGAGAGUCAAAAAGCAC